AUAAAUAAGUUGAUUUCUAACCAUUAUCUCUCGGUAAACAUAAACCAAAGAAUACCCAGAUCCUAUAAGGCAAAAAGAAGGAUUCUUUAUGGAAUUAAACCUCAAUCCAUAACCAAAUUCGAUAAAUUAAAGAUGAGAACCAAUUUGGCGUUCAUACUAUUUGGGCGCGAUUGAGAUUUCUAUAAUUUUUCAAUUAGGGUUUUGAUUUGGUCGUUCAUACUACUUGAAAGAAGGAAGAGAAAGCCGAGAGGUUGACGCUAAGAAAUAGCAAAAAAGGGACACAUAACCAAAGUUUCUUCCAUCUCUUCGAUCCCGUUCCUCGCUAAAAUUGUCGCUGGUAGUUGUGGGAGAAACUAUCGCUAUUGCUGGUGCAGUAGUGGUAGCAAGAUAUCCGUGAGAAACUCUUGUGCCCUUAGACAUCAGGGGAAGUGAACUUGGUGAUAAAUUUUUAGUAUUUAAAAUUCUCUUUACAUCAUCUUGUUACUCUAGUAGAGUUGUGUUGCUUGUUUCAAAACUGGAGCUACAUUUCUAAGGAUUCAUGUCAUGUAUAGUUUUAACUUCAAAAGAACUUUUUUUAAGUAGUUUUCUUGACAUUUGCUCCAGCAUUAGGUGAUUCUUUUUUAACUUAUAGGUCAUAAAGAGAUUAUAAGAUCAUUCAGUUAUAUUUUAUUAAAAAAAAUCAUGUUACAGUCAAUAAGAAAAGAUUCAAAGAGCUAAACUUUGAUGGAAAUAUAUUCUUUGCAAGCUAAAGUCCCAUAAAAGAAUCUUCCACACACAUCCCCUUAUCUCUUGAUUUUAAAUGUUCCCAAGAUAGGAAAUUAAGUUUGCAGGUAGACAUUAAAUUAUCUUGACGAUUAAUUUAUCCUUUCUAAAGUUUCUUUCAUCAGAGCUAUACUUUUUGUGCAAACUAUAAUAAUUGUAGAUUUGUACAAUAUUUGAAAAGCUUAAUUGGCCUAAAUAUUUUCAAUCUAUAAAUUUUCUUGUCUUACUAUUAACAUCAUCUAGGUGCUAAAUUUAUUGUACCCCAUACAUUUGAAGCUAUUAGGAGCUUAUAAUUAGUGAUUCUAGAACUUUGAUGCUUGCAUGUGUUGUCAUUGCUAUUUUUUAUUUCUCCACGAGAAAUUACACUUAGGAAGCUAUUGUUUUGUUUUCUAUUUAUAAUGUUAUAUAGGAUCAUAUAUUUUUUGUAUCUUAGUGUUUAAUUUGUUAUUUUCUUUUCUAUAAUUUAAUAUUAAUGGUUAUCUCACCAGAAUUUACAUUUAACUAGUAAAAUAUAGUGUACCAUAUUUUUGAACUUUUUUGUCCACAAUUGUAUGUUUUUGAUUGCGUUUAAUUUGUGGCCAAGAAGUUAUUGGUUAUAUCACCAGAGUUGGUAUGUAUGAAAAAUCUAGAGUGCAAUUCAUAGAGUUCAACUAGUAUCACACUGUGUGUCUAGUGGUUGAUUGUAACUUAUGUAGCCUUAAGAGAUUUACUUCAUUUGCAGUGAUUGCCAAUGAUAGAGAAAGUUGGAUAUGUUCACAUUUAUGAUGAGUUGUUAGUUAGAUAACUAUUUAUCACACUAUUUUCAGUAGAAAAUAAUUUUAUCUUUUAUUAAUUAUUUAGCUUCUCAUUGUUAAAGUCUGAACUUUGAUACUCAAUAGGUUCGUUGUGAAUUUAAGUUUGAAACCCUAAGUAUUUCUAAAGUUAAGAGUAAAUCAUAUGGAUAUUGCCAAUAUAUAUCUAUUACUUUGGUUGUGUAGGGUUUUGUUGUUGUUAUAUGUUGAUUCAGAUAGAGUGACUUUCACUUGUUCUUGUAAUAUCAUUUAUUUUGUAUUCUCAUACACAUGGUUUGUCCCUCAGAAGCUUAAAAUUAGUUUCUUCUCAAGUGCGUUAAAUGGAUAUGCUAAAAUUAAAUACAUGAGUCAAGAACUAUUUGUAGUACUUUCGCUUCUUUAGGAAGAGUUGAUGUUAUGUUGGAAUGACUUUAUGUGAUUUCAAAUUGAUAUCUUGAUUUUUUCUCUUUUUACAAGUGGAUAUGUACAGAAGAAACAUAAAUGAGGAGAAAUUUGACCGAGGCUAAUUUUGCUAAUAGGUGACAAAAAUGACCCGAGAGUAGCCAAAAACAAUGGAUAUCUUAUUUAAGAGUAUUAACACAUUGUUGUUCCAUUAGAUUUUCUAGCAAUCCAUCAUUUUUGAAACCAUUUCAAUGUAUGCUAACUCUUGAUUGUGAAAUAAUGUUGUAAUUAUUUUUUAUUUUAUAUAUGGAUAAUAGUUGGAAAUUUUGGAUUAUUUUA
Molecule: long non-coding RNA, 2273 nt
Organism: Nicotiana tabacum (common tobacco)
Lineage: Eukaryota; Viridiplantae; Streptophyta; Magnoliopsida; Solanales; Solanaceae
Source: RefSeq, a predicted model, not a curated record